GCCAGGCAUGGUGGCUCAUGCCUGUAAUCCCAGCACUUUGGGAGGCUGAGGCGGGUGGAUCACCUGAGGUCAGGAGUUUGAGACCAGCCUGGCCAACAUGGUGAAACCCUGUCUCUA
This 117-nucleotide non-coding RNA is filed under the name Homo sapiens (human). The record is from Rfam by way of RNAcentral. Lineage: Eukaryota; Metazoa; Chordata; Mammalia; Primates; Hominidae.